Molecule: long non-coding RNA, 740 nt
Organism: Salvelinus sp. IW2-2015
Lineage: Eukaryota; Metazoa; Chordata; Actinopteri; Salmoniformes; Salmonidae
Source: RefSeq, a predicted model, not a curated record
GUAGCGUUCAGAAGGAACCGUGUGGACUGCUCUGGUCAGGGUAGCGUUCAGAAGGAACCGUGUGGACUGCUCUGGUCAGGGUAGCGUUCAGAAGGAACCGUGUGGACUGCUCUGGUCAGGGUAGCGUUCAGAAGGAACCUGUGGACUGCUCUGGUCAGGGUAGCGUUCAGAAGGAACCGUGUGGACUGCUCUGGUCAGGGUAGCGUUCAGAAGGAACCGUGUGUGGACUGCUCUGGUCAGGGUAGCGUUCAGAAGGAACCGUGUGGACUGCUCUGGUCAGGGUUUUGUUGGAACAAAUGGGAGAAGACGUUUUGAAAGCGUUUUCCUACUGUGUUCCUUCUGAAGGCGACAGGUGUGUGAGGGAGUGGCCUGAGAGGGAGGCUGUAUUCCAUCAUCCACACUAGAACACUACCCCAUGUGCUACACUUAGGAUGCACAUCGUUUCCUUCUAAGUGGUACUCUAGUAUGGAUAUUGGAACGUAGCCUGAGUGAGUGAGUGAGUGAGUGUGUUUGUGUGGCGAGAGCAUCUGAUUGGAGAUAGGGAAGGAUGAAAGGAGGCUUAAUGGAUAACAGCUGAGUCUAAUCGCUUAGUGAUGUCUAGCAGAGAUAUGGAAGAUGAAGAAUAGAUUGGAUUGGGUUUAGGGUUGUCAUAGUUAUUUUUAGUGUGAACACUGUAAACGUUGAACUCUGUGACCCUGAGAAUAAAUAUAAAUAUGAGGAAUAAAAAUUGAUAUUCACAA